RNAcentral lists this unclassified non-coding RNA (404 nucleotides) under soil metagenome. Its description in RNAcentral is "partial contains 5.8S ribosomal RNA, internal transcribed spacer 2, and large subunit ribosomal RNA". The stretch from base 1 to 122 matches the Rfam family "5.8S ribosomal RNA", at positions 35 to 154 of the family's 154-position model. The record is from RNAcentral.
GAUGAAGAACGUAGUAAAAUGCGAUACUUGGUGUGAAUUUCAGAAUCCCGUGAACCAUCGAGUUUUUGAACGCAAGUUGCGCCCGAAGCCUUUUGGCCGAGGGCACGUCUGCCUGGGCGUCACGUAUCGCGUCGCCCCCCACAAUUCUCCGUAAAGGGAACAUGUGUUUUGGGGGCGGAUAUUGGUCUCCCGUGCUCAUGGCGUGGUUGGCCGAAAUAGGAGUCCUUUCGAUGGACGCACGAACUAGUGGUGGUCGUAAAAACCCUCGUCUUUUGUUUCGUGCUGUUGCUCGCAAGGUAAACUCUUUAAAAACCCCAAUGUGUCGUCUCUUGACGACGCUUCGACCGCGACCCCAGGUCAGGCGGGACUACCCGCUGAGUUUAAGCAUAUCAAUAAGCGGAGGA